CGAUCCAGUGGAAAAUCGGUUGGAGAAAUUUAAAAGCUGACGCGGGGAGUAACCCAGGAAGGCAUUUCAAUGAUCAGAGUCACAUGACCUUGGAGUGACCAAUCAGAACUUCACAAACAAGACUGCUUCUUGAGGCAGUGAUGAUGCAAGGAUGCCGAAGCCCAUUAUUCCAGGCAACUACACGGAGUCAAGAGGUCAUUGGUGUGGCGGAGCAUCUAAGUGGCUCCAGAGAAGGGCACAAGUCACAGCUCCUGGGGAGACAGUCCCCAAGAUAAGAUUUUCACUUCGUCCUGCCCCCUGCUUUCUCUUUUUACCCUUCCUUUGAUGCUAUAAGCUACCUGUUACCUUUCCAAUAAUAUUCUCUUCUGCUUGUGUUACCCAGGGAUAGUUUUCAUCCCUUGAAAAGAGAAAAUUCAGUUAAAAUUCAGUUUCAUUUGCAUUUUAAAAAUAUCUCCCAGAUGCAAAAGUGUGGUCUAAUCACUCUCCCUUACUCCCAUCACAUAAACCAGCAGCAAGUCCUGUGGGCUCACCUUCAAAGUAGAUCUCAUAUCUAAUCAUGUCUCCUGGUAGUCGAAGCCCCCAUGUCUUCAAUGGACCCCUAAGAAAUUUUCUCUUUCUGCCCUUGUUGUACUUCUAUCCACCCUUUUAAAAAAUAAAAUCAAAACAUGUCACUCUCCCGCUUAAAACCCUCCAGCAUCUUCCCAGUCUUCCCCUUGCAACUAGAGGAAUUUGCAUAAUCUGUACUGUAUACAGAGCAGAUACCUCUGACCUCUGCUCACCUUUGGAAAUUACCUCCUACCACUCUCCUUCCUACUGUUCACUCUCUAGCACAACUGUGUCUCUCUCUUUCACUAACACAAAGGUCCAAAAAUUAUAGUCUAAGGGCCAAAUCUGGCUCACUGGUCACUUUCGUAAAGUUUUAUUAGAACACAACAUUCAGACCAUUAUUUAUAAAAUUGUCUGCAGCUACUUAAGACUUGAGUGGUUGCAACAGAAACUGUGAUUCACAAAGCCAAAAUAUUUAUGAUCUGAUUCUUUACAGAAAAAGUCUGCUAAAUUCCACCCUAACGCACCAGCCCAUUCCUGCCUCAGGGCCUUUGUGCUUCCUUUUCUGACUGUGUGGCUUCUUCUCAUCACUGAAGUCUCCUCUUCAAUGUCACCUUUUCAGAGAGGCCAUGUCUGAAGAGGAGGUAAACGAAAAUCCUCCCCCACAUCCUUAUUUUCUGGAUCAUAAACAUGAUUUUCAUUUCAAAA
Long non-coding RNA from Callorhinus ursinus (northern fur seal), 1254 nucleotides. RefSeq lists it as uncharacterized. The record is from RefSeq and is a predicted model, not a curated record. NCBI's taxonomy places the organism in Eukaryota, Metazoa, Chordata, Mammalia, Carnivora, Otariidae.